UUUUUUUUUUCCUUUUUAUGGCUGCACCUGCAGCAUAUGGUAAUUUCCAGGCUAGGGGUCGAAUGGGAGUUACAGCUGAGGCCUCCGCCACAGCCUCGGCAACACUGGAUCUGAGCUGCAUCCAUGACCUAUGCCACAGUUUAUGGCAAUGCCGUAUCCUUAACCCACUAAGUGAGGCCAGGGAUAGAAUCCAUAUCCUCACAGAGACAACUUUGGGUCCUUAACCUGCUGAACCACAAUGGGAACUCCUCCAAUAAAUAUAUUUUUUUAAGUAAUUUAAACCAAAAAAGUAAGAUUUAACUGUGAUGCAGAGUUUUUGCAAUCAAUACAUAUCCAGCUAUCAAUUUAAAAAGCAAUCUACCACACUUUUACUAAAAAUCAUUUGAGAAACUUUUGAAAUCUGUUAUUUAUAAUAGCAGAGGUCCUCAAGUGAAAGACAAAAGACCUAUUUAUGAACAAAAGGAUUUCUUUAAAAUUUUCCAAGUUGCUCUAGUUUGCCAGCCCCUCCGCCCAUGGUACCGCAAAGCAGUUAAUACAAGAGGUUUUUAUUGUUAUGCCGACUCCUUAGUUGAGCAAAUUUAACUAUUGAACUCAUAUCUCCAAAUGUGCAGGGUUGGAGGAGAGAGGGAGUUUAAGAGUAAGAAAGAAUAGGAUUUCCAGACGUUCCCAGAAAUUCAGGAUGGGGGAAAAUGUAAUUUUUCUUGCAAGUGGCCACGGAUGCACCUUGUAGCCAAAGUCUGCUUUACAGACACCUAUGGUGAUCAGCUGUGCCUUCUGCAGAGUAAUUUAACCACACAACAGCUGAAAGGGGAAACAAGAUUUAGUGCAAAGAGCACCAUGCCGACUCACAAUAUUGCCCAUAUUAAGCGGUGUAUUUCCGGAGUCAGAGUUUGGGUCAUGAAAAAGUAAAACUGGCCCCGGAGAAGAGAACUGUUUCUCACAGAUUGCCAUUUAAAUCUCAAAUGACCAUGUUUCACAGCAUGCUCAAUACAUUCCAGCAUGUAACUGCAUUUUAAUUUCCUAAAACCACAGGAUACAAGUCUGAUUUCAAAUAGUCUCUGGACUGUGAUAUUCAAUACUGAUAAAACUGUAUGGUGUUCUCUUGAAAGUUCCAAAGAUUUAGCAUAUGGAAAAGGAUCUUCAUUUUCUUCGAAGCACUAUUAUCAAAGAAAUUAACUCCCCUGACUUUUGUAAAUGAACUCUAAACAAUGACUAUUAAGAGCUAAAGCUAUUGCCAUAAGAAAUGGAACUUAAGAGAUUACAGGACAAGAACACACUAUAUAUUCCUCACUCACCAGGGGGUAGUACAUACUUGACAAAACCUGCAUUUUCUUUGCCACGAAAUGCUCAUUAGUGCUUUUACUUUGGGAAAUGAAUUCAAAAUACAUUAACAUCAAUGAAUCUUUACUUGAAUGUCCAUUCAGUACACAGAAAUCAUUCAGCCACCUUUUUAACUUUAUAAAACAGGGAGAGUCUGUGAGUGCUUAAAUCCUCAAGUAUUACCUAAGAAGAGAAGCAGCCUUUAAAACAGAUCAAGAAGGAAAAAAUAAAGGUGAAAUUGUGUUUUAAGUUUGGGAGUCAGAAAUCAAUUGAAGAUCAUUAUUCAGUUAGAAGGAACUAAUAAAGAUUAACUUUUAUGUAUGAACAUGAAACAAUACAACACGAUGUUCAGUGGUUUUCACACUGGCUCUGACCUGACCUUGAGAAAAGAUGAAGGGAAAAAACUUUUUUGAGGGGAUGGAGUGGAUAAGUACAGUUGACCUUGAACAACACGGGUUUGAACUAUGUCCACUCACUGAUUUUUUUCAGUACUAAAGUACCACAUAAUCCAAGGAUGGCUGAAUCCAAGGAUGUGGAUACAAAGGGCCAACUCUAAGCUAUAUGUGAAUUUUCAGCUGGGCAGAGGGUUGGCACCCCUAACCCUCCAGCUGUUCAAGGGUCAACUAUGUGUGCUUUCCUCUAAAGGACUAAACUGCCUUUUACUUUGAGCCCGACUCCAAAACUGACACAUCCAAUAAUUAUUUUUAAGCAAAAAAAUCGCUUUGAUCAAUGAAACAGAACUUAGAAUGAAAGUAUGAUUAAUAACUUAAGGUGCAGGAACGAGAAAGCUCUGGUUGUUCUACCUAGAAAAUCUAGAGCUAACCCCGGGUGCCUGGCAUAUGAGUCAGCUGGUCUCUACGGCCGCACUUCAUCAGAUUCUUAAGUAUCAUCAUGUGUAAGAAGUGCCCACUCCUGAUUUCCUAACAGCUUUAUAACAUAUCUAAUGGGCACAUGAACCAAUUUCCUUUUAUGAGCAAAAAAACUGAUUUGUGUGGGAGGGGGGCGGGGAAGCACAUCUUAGAAGAAAUGACUGCGUUUCUUCCCUUGCCCCCUUCGUCUUCCUAUUUGAUUUUUACAUUUAUUUCCUUCUCCUGACCUUCCCAUUUCUCUUUUCCCUUUUCCCCAUAAACUGAGACGAGACUGCAGGUGGCCAGCAGGAAAACACUGCAUUCCCAAGAAGUAUGCCUGCCAUACUUCUUAGGUCCUGGAUGUGCAGUGUUGCAACUAAUGCAACGCAUCACAGAGCCCGGAGAGCAGCACAACUUGCGCCUCAUGAGCAAAGCCACAGAGACGCGCAGUGAAGGUGGGGUGGGCUGUGGGGGAGAAUGGCUGUGACUGAGAGUGGGGCUCAGGUGAUGCGGGUGAACAGAGCUGCGUGCUUUUUCGAAGAGAGGGAUCAGAGCAAUAAAGGCAAAUGCUGACGAAACAUCUGACAUCCAUGGGAUGCAGUGUCCUGACUUGUCCAACAACCACCAGCUACUCUCAACGUGUUUGUUUUACUCUAAUCCUCAUUAGAGCUCAAUAUGAGCGGUCUUACUAUUAUCUCAAUUUUGAAAGCCUGGAAUCUGAGGCCAGAGAGAUUAUUAAACUGCCUCAGGGCAGACACCCUGUUUACCAGCUCAUGAUGGAGCAGGGGUCUAAAUGCAGGAGGUCUGACUCAGGGCUGUGCUUUUAGUGUCUGUACCCGCUACCAGUGCACAGUGUCCAAAGGGGAAUAAUAACAGAGCAUGGCUGGGACUAUUCCGGGCAGGAGAUGGAAGAAAGGACGGAAAAGAAGCAGCACCAGAGACGCAAGAAGGCAAGGAAGGCAUCAAAAACCCAUACGGCCUGUCGACCCUGUGAAACCAUUCCACAACUUUAUUUAGCCC
This 3188-nucleotide long non-coding RNA is filed under the name Sus scrofa (pig). RNAcentral's name for it is "lncRNA (ENSSSCG00060011955.1)". The record is from RNAcentral. Lineage: Eukaryota; Metazoa; Chordata; Mammalia; Artiodactyla; Suidae.